Molecule: ribosomal RNA, 254 nt
Filed under: uncultured bacterium
Lineage: Bacteria
Description: partial 16S ribosomal RNA
Rfam family: Bacterial small subunit ribosomal RNA
Source: RNAcentral
CACGUAGGGCGCAAGCGUUGUCCGGAAUUAUUGGGCGUAAAGAGCUCGUAGGCGGUCUGUUGCGUCUGCUGUGAAAACUUGGGGCUUAACCCUGAGCUUGCGGUCGAUACGGGCAUGACUGGAGUUCGGCAGGGGAGACUGGAAUUCCUGGUGUAGCGGUGAAAUGCGCAGAUAUCAGGAGGAACACCGGUGGCGAAGGCGGGUCUCUGGGCCGAAACUGACGCUGAGGAGCGAAAGCCAGGGGAGCAAACGGG